This 1202-nucleotide ribosomal RNA is filed under the name uncultured bacterium. Its description in RNAcentral is "bacterial SSU rRNA". It matches the Rfam family "Bacterial small subunit ribosomal RNA", at positions 1 to 1208 of the family's 1533-position model. The record is from RNAcentral.
GAAUUCGCCCUUAGAGUUUGAUCAUGGCUCAGGACGAACGCUGGCGGCGUGCUUAACACAUGCAAGUCGAACGGUACUUAAUGAGUAGUAAUACGAGUUAAGUAUAGUGGCGGACGGGUGAGUAACGCGUGAGCAAUCUGCCUUUAAGAGGGGGAUAACACCGGGAAACCGGUGCUAAUACCGCAUAAGACCACACUACCACAUGGUAGAGGGGUAAAAGGAGCAAUCCGCUUAAAGAUGAGCUCGCGUCCCAUUAGCUAGUUGGUGAGGUAACGGCUCACCAAGGCUGCGAUGGGUAGCCGACCUGAGAGGGUGAUCGGCCACACUGGAACUGAGACACGGUCCAGACUCCUACGGGAGGCAGCAGUGGGGAAUAUUGGGCAAUGGGCGAAAGCCUGACCCAGCAACGCCGCGUGAGGGAAGAAGGUUCUCGGAUUGUAAACCUCUGUCCUUGGGGACGAAGAAAGUGACGGUACCCAAGGAGGAAGCCCCGGCUAACUACGUGCCAGCAGCCGCGGUAAUACGUAGGGGGCGAGCGUUGUCCGGAAUUACUGGGCGUAAAGGGUGCGUAGGCGGUUAUUUAAGUCAGAUGUGAAAUCCCCGGGCUUAACUCGGGUGGUGCAUUUGAAACUGGGUAACUAGAGUGCAGGAGAGGGAAGCGGAAUUCCUAGUGUAGCGGUGAAAUGCGUAGAUAUUAGGAGGAACACCAGUGGCGAAGGCGGCUUUCUGGACUGUAACUGACGCUGAGGCACGAAAGCGUGGGGAGCAAACAGGAUUAGAUACCCUGGUAGUCCACGCUGUAAACGAUGGAUACUAGGUGUAGGGGGCUAAAGCCCUCUGUGCCGCAGCAAACGCAAUAAGUAUCCCGCCUGGGGAGUACGGCCGCAAGGUUGAAACUCAAAGGAAUUGACGGGGGCCCGCACAAGCAGCGGAGCAUGUGGUUUAAUUCGAAGCAACGCGAAGAACCUUACCAGGGCUUGACAUCCCUUGAAGUGCAUAGAAAUAUGUACGCCCUUCGGGGCAAGGAGACAGGUGGUGCAUGGUUGUCGUCAGCUCGUGUCGUGAGAUGUUGGGUUAAGUCCCGCAACGAGCGCAACCCUUAUGGUUAGUUGCCAGCAUUAACGGUGGGAACUCUAAUCAGACUGCCGGGGAUAACUCGGAGGAAGGUGGGGACGACGUCAAAUCAUCAUGCCCCUUAUGUC